This 230-nucleotide ribosomal RNA is filed under the name uncultured bacterium. Its description in RNAcentral is "partial 16S ribosomal RNA". It matches the Rfam family "Bacterial small subunit ribosomal RNA", at positions 103 to 334 of the family's 1533-position model. The record is from RNAcentral.
CGGGUGAGUACAACAUCGGAACGUAUCCUUUAGUGGGGGAUAGCCCGGCGAAAGCCGGAUUAAUACCGCAUGAUCUCUGAGGAGCAAAGCGGGGGAACCGUAAGGUCCUCGCGCUGUUGGAGCGGCCGAUGCCGGAUUAGCUUGUUGGUGGGGUAAGAGCCUACCAAGGCGACGAUCCGUAGCUGGUCUGAGAGGAUGAUCAGCCACACUGGAACUGAGACACGGUCCAG